Molecule: ribosomal RNA, 253 nt
Filed under: uncultured bacterium
Lineage: Bacteria
Description: partial 16S ribosomal RNA
Rfam family: Bacterial small subunit ribosomal RNA
Source: RNAcentral
UACGUAGGGUGCGAGCGUUGUCCGGAAUUAUUGGGCGUAAAGGGCUCGUAGGCGGUCUGUCACGUCGGGGGUGAAAACACGGGGCUUAACCCCGUGCCUGCUUCCGAUACGGGCAGACUAGAGGUAUGCAGGGGAGAACGGAAUUCCUGGUGUAGCGGUGAAAUGCGCAGAUAUCAGGAGGAACACCGGUGGCGAAGGCGGUUCUCUGGGCAUUACCUGACGCUGAGGAGCGAAAGUGUGGGGAGCGAACAGG